CUACAUCAUAUCUGCUAUCUUGGGUGCUGGCGGUGGCGGGCUCUUCCCCCUUCAUCGCCCAAGACCCUGCGCUAGAUGUCUGUAUUGCUGCCCCCUAAAUGUGGCUCAGAAGUCGAGCGACCUCGACAAAGGCCUCUCGGUGUCCAUGUCCCCCUCCGACUCGAGCGAAGAAGUCGUGCAUCUCCUCACCGACCUCAAAAUCGAGUUCACAUCUCCUCCCUCCGAUGGUGGGUCGCCAGUAUGGAAGCUCGACAGCUCUGAGCCCAACGGCCAACGAUAUGUGACACUAAACGGGUCUCCGCAUAACGAAAUCAACCACGAUAACAUGUUCAAAAUUGAGAAAGCAGGUGCUUUGGGCUACAAACUGCUAUACUGCCCCAGUGUAGCCGGCGUCCCUGCCGAUGGUCCUUGCGGUAGUCUGGGUAUAUACUUCGAGGAUGGGAACAGGUGGUUGGUUCUCAGCGACCAGCCGUUCUUGGUUGUCUUUGUUAAGGCGUAAACCCUCACGGAUAUCCCUAUUACGUACCUGGACUCUCAUGAAAUAAGGGCCUUAUGUCCGAGUGUCUGCUAUGUGUAAGGGCUUUUUAAGUCCGAGUGUUUGUUAUGUGUAUCAGUGCGUGGGGUGUCUUGAAAUAAGAGCUUUAUGUCCGUCUGUCCUUUUUAUGUGAAUCAGUGUAUGUGGAGA
Molecule: unclassified non-coding RNA, 685 nt
Filed under: Hevea brasiliensis (rubber tree)
Lineage: Eukaryota; Viridiplantae; Streptophyta; Magnoliopsida; Malpighiales; Euphorbiaceae
Source: RNAcentral